This 1195-nucleotide long non-coding RNA is filed under the name Olea europaea subsp. europaea. Lineage: Eukaryota; Viridiplantae; Streptophyta; Magnoliopsida; Lamiales; Oleaceae. The record is from RNAcentral.
CAAACUCCUUACGUUUUUUCUCCUCGUCUGUAAAACUUCAAGCACGAACUGUAUAAGUUGUACCGGCUAGUAACAAAAUCUCUCCACAAAUCUCGAAAUAUUAAUGGCUAAUUCAAUGAAUAAUUGGUUGGGAUUCUCUCUUUCACCUCAAGAUCAUUUCCCUUCUCAGGAUCACUCACAAAACUCAGUUUUCAACUCAGAUGAAAUCUCAGUUACUCAAGUUUCAUCAAGUGGAUGUUUUGAUCUUUCUUCUGACUCAACUAUUCCUUCUCUCAACCUUCCAGCCCCUUUCGCCAUUUUAGAAGAUUUCCAAAGGAACAAUAAUUCACAAGGUCAGUCUUUCGAUCGUAUAUACUACAGGUUCUUGAGUAUACAUCUGUCUUUUGUCCGUAAUAGAAACUCUAAUUUAGCGUAACUCUAAGUCUGAGCUGAGAUUUUUUCGACCUUUUUUGUUUCACUUUAUUUGCAGAUUGGAAUAUGAAGGAUGUUGGGUUAAACUCAUUGUCAUGCAGCAGUCAAAACCUGGAAAAUCAAGAAAGGCCAAAACUGGAAAAUUUUCUCGGGGUUUCUGGGCACACUUUUAAUGUUCAAGAACGCAAGAAAAGCAUUUCUACUGAUACUUACAUAUACCAAGAAUCUGCUGAGGCCACCUCUCAAACAUCAAGCAACAAUAAUACUAUUGGCCUCUCCAUGAUCAAGAACUGGCUGAGAAAUAACCCAGCACCGCCACAACCGGCUGAGAACAAAAGUGGUGACAAGGCGGUGCUACCACCUCCACCGAGGACUAGUAGUGUACAGACUUUGUCACUUUCAAUGAGAACUGGCUCACAGUCAAGCUCCCAUUUGCCAGUUACUACUGUAAACGGUGAGAGUUCUACAUUUGAUAACAAUGAACAGCAGCUUAAAAAUGCUCUUGAUAGCCAAACGGGUGCAAUAGAGGCUGUACCGAGGAAAUCGAUAGAUACAUUUGGACAAAGGACAUCUAUCUACCGUGGUGUAACGAGGUUUUAUUUUUUUUACCUAAAUGCAAAUAUUUAUAUUUUCUAUAUAGACAACUCCGAGGGUCAAAUCUUAUAAAAUGAAUUCUAUUUUGUCGUUCGACCCCUCUCAAAGGGAGAGUGGUUGAAGAAAUAUGCAACAGACUUCAAUUUUUUUUUUUUCUUUUUUGAAUCCAGAAGUUUUUCAUAAGGGUUUC